CAGGCCGUUAAUGACGCUCAUGCACGAAAGUGCGGGGAUCGAACAGGAUUAGAUACCCUGGUAGUCCGCACAGUAAACGAUGAAUACUUGCUUUCGGCGAUACACAGUCGGAGGCAAAGCGAAAGCGAUAAGUAUUCCACCUGGGGAGUACGCCGGCAACGGUGAAACUCAAAGGAAUUGACGGGGGCCCGCACAAGCGGAGGAACAUGUGGUUUAAUUCGAUGCUACGCGAGGAACCUUACCCGGGCUUGAAAGUUAGCGACGGCGGAUGAAAGUCUGCUUCCCUUCGGGGCGCGAAACUAGGUGCUGCAUGGUUGUCGUCAGCUCGUGCCGUGAGGUGUCGGCUUAAGUGCCAUAACGAGCGCAACCCUUUUCUCCAGUUGCCAUCGGUUCGGCCGGGGACUCUGGAGACACUGCCAUCGCAAGAUGUGAGGAAGGAUGGGAUGACGUCAAAUCAGCACGGCCCUUACGUCCGGGGCGACACACGUGUUACAAUGGGAGGGACAGAAAGCUGCGAAGUGGUGACACCGAGCCAAUCUCCAAACCUUCUCCCAGUUCGGAUCGGAGUCUGCAACCCGACUCCGUGAAGCUGGAUUCGCUA
RNAcentral lists this ribosomal RNA (601 nucleotides) under uncultured bacterium. Its description in RNAcentral is "bacterial SSU rRNA". It matches the Rfam family "Bacterial small subunit ribosomal RNA", at positions 730 to 1337 of the family's 1533-position model. The record is from RNAcentral.